This is a long non-coding RNA of Equus caballus (horse), 6246 nucleotides long. Lineage: Eukaryota; Metazoa; Chordata; Mammalia; Perissodactyla; Equidae. The record is from Ensembl.
CUGGAAGGGGUGCAACAUUAGAUGGGCUGGUCAGGGAAGGCUUCUCUGAUGAGCUGACAUUUGAGCAGGGACAUGCAUGGUAACAGUCUCUAGCCUUAUGAAGCUCAGUAAGAACCACGUCCCUGAGGUUGGAACAAAUGGACAAAAUGAAGAGGAGAAGAUGGCAGAUUGCUUAAUUUCUUGAAAUGUGAUGAUCAAGAACACAGCUUGGAAGUUCAACGGACCGUAAGUUUGAGCCAAGACUGAACCGCAAAGGACACAUUCCUACUUUCACAGAAGUAGAAUCUAUUCCUUCCCUCCUCUUGAACCUGGGCAAGCCUGAGUGAUUUGUUUGGUCAAUAGAGUGGGAUGGAAGUAACGUUCUGGAACAGCUGAGUCCCGGUCAUAAGAAGCCAGGCCAUCUCUCUCUGAGCCUUCUGGAACCAUCACUCUAGGGAAAGUAAGCUACCAAUCAGGAGUCUGAUUACCCUGAGACCACCAUGCUGUAGGAAGCCCAAGUCACAUGGAAAGGCCCUGGAAGAAGACAUGCUAUGUGGAGAGAGAGAAAAAGAGAGCGGCCAAGGAGGACUGAGGCACCAGACGUAGUUGUGCUCUCUCUGGGCCCUGCAGUGAAGUUUUGGCCUGGUGCCUAGAAACACCUCCAUGUUACUCAGAACAAGGCGAGGUGCAAACCAAACCAAUGGCACGGAAGGUCCCUUGCUGCUUCUAGAAUCUGGUGUGUGUCCGUGAUCCCACUCUUCUCUGCACCUCUGCCUGCUCUCCCAAAUGAAGACUGCCCAUCCGGCUCAUCACCUUGGUCCUACCUAGCUUUCCAGGCCAAGUUCAAAUUCUUCCUUUGCAAUGGAACUGAGGACCACCUCAUUGGUCCCAUAUAUCUCUUCUCUUCUUGAUCCAAAUCCCUGCUCAAAAGGAAGAUUAGCCCUGAGCUAACAUCCAUGCCCAUCUUCCUCUAUCUUAUAUGUGGCAUGCUGCCACAGCAUGGCUUGAUAAGUGGUGUGUAGGUCCAUGCCCAGGAUCUGGGCUGGCAAACCCUGGGCCACUGAAGUGGAACACUCAAACUUAACCACCACGCCACCCGGCUGGCCCCCUUCGGACACAACUUUUAACCUUCAUCAGCCUCAAGUGACCACCUGUAAAACGGCUACAAGGUCUGACUGUCUAUGAGGCUGUGAGCACUUGGUGAUGUUUAAUAAACAGGGCCUGGACUAGGGCAAGAGAGUAUACAACAUUGGAGCCACAAAGUGUGAACUGACGUAUGAAUUGGAGAAAGAUGUUUGCCGGGUAGGAGGAAUGUGGAAGACCACGCUGGCUCCAAACUGUGAAGACUGAGGCACAUAUUAGAAGAGUCUUCUCCCCAACAGCUCCCAUCUAUACCAGUUACCAGUUUGCUGCUUCUACCCCAACGACCAGGCCGUCUCCCCUACGCAGAAACCUAUUAACCCUAGGAGGUGCCCUCCAUCCCCGAUCUCUGCAUGCAGUACCAGUAGGCUGGUAUCAAGCACCUUCUCCAUAAGAUGUCUCUUCAAGCUCUCUGGAGUCCUGAGAAGACCCAACAGGCAGAACGUCUAGUGAGAUUAGCCCUGUCUGGACUGAAGAACAAGUCAUUGUCUUUAGCGAGUAUUGGUGGUAUUGAUGCACCAGAACGGUGAUGGAUUUGUGGCACCCUCAUAAUACAGUCAUGUGUCAAUUGAAUGCCUGGGAGGAAGACAUUACCACUCAAGCAUAAGAAUGAAAAAUUGUAGAUUCUAGAGGGAAUCAAGAACACUGUGUCUGAGAUCCUUCCUAACGAUGCAUAGAAAUAAUAGGAGAGAAGGAGGGAAAAGGGGUCUUGAAAGGAGCGUGGGUCAAAGUUUAGAGUAAUAAUGUUUGUACUGUGGUUAUAGUUAUAGCUGUAUAAUCCAUCCUGAGGCUGAUGUGGUCUGGAGAAAAGGGGAAGAGGCCUUAAUAUUUUAGAUUUAUAUUGAAAAUACCUGUUCUUUUUUGUUUUAAGGAAAGGUACAUGAACUUUGGGCUCUGACAGAAUUGGCCUUCAUUGCUAACCACCAUCAUUUACUAGUUCUGGAUACUUGAGCAAGUAAUAAAACCCGCCUAAAUCUGUUUUCUCAGUAAACUUGGGUUCUCAUGGUGUUGUUGGGAUCUAUCUGAUCUUAAAGAGAACUGACUGUUUACCAAAGAGGUCGCCCUCAUCUGCGAAGGCAAAGGCAAGGUCUUUUACAGUCCUGAAAGCCCCAUAUUUGUCUCUGGAGUUAGCAUGGCCUCUGUGAGACAGACUAGGUGUUCAGCCUUGUGCUCCACAGCAUUGUCUCUCACUCAGCUAUCACCUGGGGCCAGAUCCCUUCAAAGGGUGCUGUGAUCCAGGCCACGAUGACAGCUUAAGUCAUACGCUCCCCUGCACCCCCAAUCUGGCAUGAUGAUCUAAAGCCCUGCCUGUGCCUUUUCUGAGAUGUGUUCAGAAGUAGGCCUUACCUCCUGACUUCCAGAGGAGGAGAGCCGGGGAUCUCUGUGAAGGAGCACUCCCAGUGCCUCUGGGGAAGCCAAAGGCACUACCCCCCGCCCCCCUCCAGCAUGUGACAGGAACCAUCCCAUAUCAAAGGCAACUGUGGCAGAGGAAAAGGUCUGCUUCAGGGAGGGAAGGGAGCCAAGCUGUGGAGAGCGCUUAAAUAGAACUGGCAGCCAGAAUCUUUGAUGGCCCUAGCAACAAGCACUUGAGUGGCAGGACUGUAGUGUUGAUUUUUCUUUUAAUCUUCUCUCACUUCAGGAUAACACAGUUCUCUGCUGGAAAAGUCAGUCUUUACCGAUUUCUGGCACUGGGGCCAAGAAUCACAGAAAUACUGCUUUGGCUAAAAUUCUGAAAUAAGACCUCAUUACCUAUGAUUACAAAAAAGAGAGAGUGAAUGUGUCUGUAUAUGAUAUCUCUUUUUGUGGUCAUGAUGUUGCUUUUCACACCAUCUUUGUUAGGUGCCAUUAAAGGUGCCAGAGCCAACCCUACGAGCUGAUUGACGAAGGCUGCAUCAGAGAUGACUGACAAGGAAGGACAAAGGGCAAGAGAGCAAAAAGAAUUUAGAACAAGAGAGAAGUGCCUAAGUGGAUCAGUUACUGGGGAUAGGAAGAGCAUGCUGUUUAAAGAGCCAGAGGAACUUAGACAAGUGUUACUCAACCUGGCCCAAGAGAAAGUGUUGGAGGACCAAGAAUUUGUUAUUAGACAGAUGAAACAUAACCUUACCUCUGUGUUUGACUAGGCUCUGCAUGUAUGGUGUGGGGAGAGCAGGUAAAGUAAGGAAGCAGCGUGGAAUGUGGGAACUAAGGGAAUCUAAAGUGAUCGUCCAAACUUUGUGCAAUUACAGACAAAAAUUGUUGGUAAUAAACACUGACAUUGGACAGCUAGAUAAAAACCCAAAGGAGAUUAGCAGGACCAAAUUGAAAUAACUUAGUGUAACCAAAAAAUAGCUCAUGGAUCUUGUAUUAGUCUGAUCAAGCUACGAUAAGAAAAUACAGUCGUGUCUCAACAACAGGGAUACAUUCUGAAAAACGCUUCGUUAAGUGAUUUUGUCAUUGUGCGAACAUUGUAGAGUGUACUUACACAAAUCUAGAUGGCAUGGCCUACUACAAACCUAGAUGGCAUAGACUACUACACACCUAGAUGGUACAGCCUACUACACACCUAGGCUAUAUGGUACUAAUCUUAUGGGACCGCUGUCGUGUACGCACUCCAUGGUUGACAGAAAUGUCGUUAUGCGCCGCAUGUCUGUACCAUAGACUGGUUGGCUUAAACAACAGACAUGUUUUCUCACAGUUCUGGAGGUUGGAAGUACAUGAUCAAGGUGCUGGCAAAUUUGUUUCCUGGUGAGAACUCUUCCUGGUUUGUUGAUGGUCACCUUCACUGUAUGUCCUUACAGGGCCUUUCCUCCAUAUGUGCACACAGAAAAAGAGAGAAAGUAAGUUCUCUGGCGUCUCUUCUUCUGAGCACAAUAAUCCUACUAGGUCAGGGUCCCACCCUUAUGACUUCAUUAACCUUAAUUACCUCCUAAAAGAACUAUUUCCAAAUACAGUCACACUGGGGGUUAAAACUUCAACAUAUGAAUUUUGGUGGGACAAAAUUCAGUCCAUAGCACCCAGGUUUGAGAACAAAUGUUUUAGGCCAUUGGUUAUCAUCAAGGGGUGAUUUUGUCUUCCAGGGGACAUUUAACAAUAUCUGGAGACAUUUUUAGUUGUCUCAACUUGGGGAAGGGUUGCUACUGACAUCUAGUGAGCAGAAAGGCCAGAGAUAGUGACAAACACCCUACAAUGCACAAGACAACAGCCCACCACCACCGAAAGAAGCUUCCUUUCUUUCUUAGAAAAUAUAACACAUUAGGUGCCCCAGUGUUUUCAUGUGAAUGAGUUUGUCUUAUACUUUCCUUCCUGGUAAGAGACACAUGUGUCAGAGGAACCCUGCAGGAAGGGUGGAAAAGGAUGAAAUCUGACGCUGAGGCAUUGUCCACAGGUCAGGGACUCUCAACUCCGGCUGAGCGUCAGAACUACCUGGAAAGCUUUGUUGAAAUAUUGAGACCUCAGCCUACCUGCAACAAUGUGACUUAGUCUGGGAAGGACCAGACAGCUGUUGUUGUCGUUAUUAUUUUCAAGUUCUGCAAAUGAAUGUAGUGGCACAGACAGAGUUGAGACCCCUGUAGGUACUUUCAGCGCAUUAUUUUACAUAAUGCUCACGAUAGCUUGGUAAUUUAUUCCCAGUUGUAACAAUGAGAAAACAGGUCCAGAGGGCUCCAGGCCAUCACUAAAUGUUAAUAGAUAGAAAGUGGUAGAACUGAGAUUGUUACCAAAUCUGCCUGGCCCACCUAUGCCAAAGGGUGAUGCGUGUGUGUGUGCACGCAUGUGUGUAUGCUCUGUGUUUUGUGUGAGCUAGUGUUGAAAGGUGAUGACACCAAGUUAAGAUUCCUCUACUUCGUUUUUCCUGGCUUGGGAAUCCAAAGAUCCAGGGUAUUUUUUCUCCCUUUGUAAACUAAAUGGCAGAGAGAAAAACAAAGUAAAUUUCUCCCUUUCAACCCAAUUCAGGUUGAAUGAGGAUGGGAACAAGACUGAUUUUAUGAGUCAAAGGACCCAGCAUAUUGUUGUGCUCUGAAAUAUUUAGGAGUAGCACUCUUUCCUCUUUUCUAUUGACAUUUAGGUAGAAAUCCAUUGAAGGAAAUUAAAAACAAAAGGAAAACUAGGAAUUGACAGUCACUCAGAAGUACACAACUCAGAUUACAUAUGAAGUCAAGUAACAUAAAGAUCAACAAACUCAGUUUUAUUACCAUUCUUGACCAUCUUAAUCCUAACUAACUCAGUCACUAAAGCAGAUAAAUCUUAUAAAUGAAAUCAGAAAUUUAUUUUUAAAAUCUCAUUCAGAGGUGAAAUCAUUAAUUUAUAUCAGAUAGUACAAACCUCUUUUAAUUUAGCUGCCAAAAAUGGCUGCCUUGAGUGUCCUCAAGGACCCAUGUGGAUCAAAGAGACAUGCCAGCACCUGGUAAACUAUAAGUUGCCACAUGAAAUGCAUCACUGUCAUCACUUUUAAUUUUAAAUUAAAAUGUAAAAUGUAGCUAGCUUCUAAGAGCACCAUCUGGGCCAGUCUUCCUCUUAUUCUCCCAUCUCUCUGCUCUUCCCACCUGCCCUUCCUCCUUUUCCUGAUGUCCUUCACCACACCCUCCACCACUCUCCACUCAUUCCUACGUGGUCUAACCACAGGAGACAUGGUCCCAUCUUUUGCAUAUAAAAACUCAAGAUUAUAAACAAACAAAUAAACUUUGAUGGUGUACAGCUAGCUGAGAAAGCUGAAUUCCAAAGGGUUACUAUGUUCCUAGUAAAAAGAGGGAAUACCAUGCGCACUUGGAAAAGAAACAGAAAUGAGCACAGUAAUGCUUUGGCAUCACAUAGGUGUAGGUUCUCCUUUUCUUUUAUUGCUAUUUCAAUGUUGUGUGUUUUUUUUUUUAAAGAUUGACAUCUGAGCUAACGAGUGUUGCCAAUCUUUUUUUUUUUUUUCUGCUUUUUUCUCCCCAAAUCCCUCCAGUAUUUAGUUGUAUAUUUUAGUUGUAGGUCCUUCUAGUUGUGGCAUGUGGGACACCGCCUCAACAUGGCCAGAUGAGCAGUGCCACAUCUGCGCCCAGGAUCCGAACUGGUGAAACCCUGGGUCACCACAGCAGAGUGUGCCAACUUAACCACUCAGCCCCGGAGCCAGCCCCUAUUUCAAUGUUCUUGAAGGAACAAAUAAAAUAC